RNAcentral lists this non-coding RNA (174 nucleotides) under Nitrospiraceae bacterium. RNAcentral describes it as "6S RNA". It matches the Rfam family "6S / SsrS RNA". Rfam says of the family: E. coli 6S RNA was the first non coding RNA to be sequenced, but its function was unknown until recently. It consists of 184 nucleotides that fold into an extended hairpin structure with a large single-stranded internal bulge. The record is from RNAcentral. Lineage: Bacteria; Pseudomonadati; Nitrospirota; Nitrospiria; Nitrospirales; Nitrospiraceae.
AAAUACCUGCCUUGCUCGUGAUUGGAAUUAAAACUUAUUCCGACCAAAUUAAUUAAGGGAUCCUGCGUAAAGCAUGUGGUGCGCCCCUUCGGGGAAGCCUGAUCCUGCUUUCGGGGAACCCACCUGUAAAACGGGGUUUAUAGUUUUUUUUCUACACGGCAAGGUGGGAAGAAU